Molecule: ribosomal RNA, 784 nt
Filed under: uncultured Bacteroidota bacterium
Lineage: Bacteria; Pseudomonadati; Bacteroidota
Description: bacterial SSU rRNA
Rfam family: Bacterial small subunit ribosomal RNA
Source: RNAcentral
GAUUUAUUGGGUUAAAGGGAGCGUAGGCCGGAGAUUAAGCGUGUUGUGAAAUGUAGAUGCUCAACAUCUGCACUGCAGCGCGAACUGGUUUCCUUGAGUACGCACAAAGUGGGCGGAAUUCGUGGUGUAGCGGUGAAAUGCUUAGAUAUCACGAAGAACUCCGAUUGCGAAGGCAGCUCACUGGAGCGCAACUGACGCUGAAGCUCGAAAGUGCGGGUAUCGAACAGGAUUAGAUACCCUGGUAGUCCGCACGGUAAACGAUGGAUGCCCGCUGUUGGUCUGAAUAGGUCAGCGGCCAAGCGAAAGCAUUAAGCAUCCCACCUGGGGAGUACGCCGGCAACGGUGAAACUCAAAGGAAUUGACGGGGGCCCGCACAAGCGGAGGAACAUGUGGUUUAAUUCGAUGAUACGCGAGGAACCUUACCCGGGCUUGAAUUGCAGAGGAAGGAUUUGGAGACAAUGACGCCCUUCGGGGUCUCUGUGAAGGUGCUGCAUGGUUGUCGUCAGCUCGUGCCGUGAGGUGUCGGCUUAAGUGCCAUAACGAGCGCAACCCCUCUCCUUAGUUGCCAUCAGGUCAGGCUGGGCACUCUGGGGACACUGCCACCGUAAGGUGUGAGGAAGGUGGGGAUGACGUCAAAUCAGCACGGCCCUUACGUCCGGGGCUACACACGUGUUACAAUGGCAGGUACAGAGAGAUGGUGUUCUGCAAAGCGCAUCUAAUCCUUAAAGCCUGUCUCAGUUCGGACUGGGGUCUGCAACCCGACCCCACGAAGCUGGAUUCGCUA